Molecule: long non-coding RNA, 1715 nt
Filed under: Heterocephalus glaber (naked mole-rat)
Lineage: Eukaryota; Metazoa; Chordata; Mammalia; Rodentia; Bathyergidae
Description: lncRNA (ENSHGLG00000041514.1)
Source: RNAcentral
UUCUGGAGGUCUCCAGCCCACUCCCAAGUCACACAGCCAUCCCUAGGGAGGGGGGACUGGGGAACCAGUCUGGAGUCUUCCUCCCACCCAAGAGACGGAAGUGAAGGCAGGCAGCCUCUCACCCAUAGCAGCAAAGAGGAGGGGUCCUCUUGAACCCUAGGGAGAGGGGUCAACCGGGCUGGCAUCAGGCACAACUUGAGCCACGUUGGCAGAGACCUCCCCAGGCUCUGGCCUCCCCCAAAGGCCAGUUCUGUGGCAGGACAGGCUGGCAAGGGUUGUUUACAUGGCUGUUAUUCACAAUCCCUUCCUUCCCCAGCUCCCCUGGGGGUGGCUGGACCUGAGUGAGGCAGGGGAGAGAACUUGGGAGGGUCCAGCAGGGCCUGGAGUCCCUAGGCUCUGAAACUGGCUUCAGGCAAGAUGGUGGUCCCUGGUCCUGGCCUCUGGCUUGCCUGCUCAGCAGUCCAGCCGGGGGAGAGUCCAGGGCAGAGUCCUGUGGCUUAGGGCCUGGGAGAGGCCAGCAUGGGAACCUGGACUGUCCAGUGCCCGAGGGCUGUUGCUGUCAUCCCCAGGGAGAUGGGGACUGGUCCUGGGGGAAUGGAACAGGACCUCCCUUCCGCGUACCCCGAGUUGCCAUGUCAGCCUUGUUAAGUCACAGUCCGGGACCUGGACCAGGGCUCUCAGGACGGGCUCCUGGAGUGUCCAGGGGCUGCUGGGAGCUGGCUCAGGGGGGAGAGGACCACUUCUCUACCCCAUCCUGGCUCCCAUCCUGCCUCAGCCCAUGCCACAGGCCAGAGCCCUUGUUGCUGACUGUUCUGCGCCUGACGAUUGAGCAGAGCUGAGGACACACAAAAGACACAAACACAAAAGGAAAGCCACCCAGCGCAUGGACACAAAGCCAGACCCAGGGACCAAGGCUCAGGACUCCAUGCCCAGCAGGGCCGGCUCUGGCCCCCAGGACUCCCCCAGCAGCAGGCAGCAUCCUCUGGCCUUGGGGUUGCCUUCUUACCCCCCAGCUAUCGGGACUCCUAUUUUCUGAUGCUGAGUGGGGCCCAGGGGCAAGGCCCUGAGUUACUUGCUCCCUCAGUCCCCUCAAGCUGAGGGCUGGAGGGCACCCACCAGGCCUCCCCAGCUCAGCCUGGGCCAGGGCACUGUUGAAUCGUGUUGCUGCUAAGUGCAACAGCUAAAAAUACAGCCACAGGCCAGUGUGUGCAGUGCCAUGGAUGCCAGGAGCAGGGAGCGGACCAGGACACCGAGGGGCUACAAGCUACAGUGAUGGUGCUAAAGAGCCAGGAUGUCUUGGAAUCUGUACAACUGCCGUUCGCCAUUCACCAAUCUGCAUUGAAGCUCUGGGGACUUCCAGGCCUUGUGAAGUCGGGGCUUCAUGGAGGAGGUGAUACCUGAGCUUGGGAGUCAGAGAACAGGCAAAACUUCACCGAGUCACACACUUACAAAAAUAUUUUGCUUCCUUUAAGCCACUUGUUCCGGGCUGGAAUACAACAGACGGAGCGCAAGCGGAGCCUCUACCUGCUGGGCUGGUUGGCAGAAUUCAAGGAAAUCAUCUCUACGAAAUGCCUAGCACAAGAUGCUGAACAUGGAUUGUGAGUGAAUUGAUGAAGAGGUAAAACGACACCACAAUGCAGAAGGGUGCCAUAUAUGAAGCCAUUGGGCACCAAUAUGAGAGGCAGUAAAUCACCCCAGCCGAUUAAGUGCCUUCC